UACGAAGGGGGGCUAGCGUUGCUCGGAAUCACUGGGCGUAAAGCGCACGUAGGCGGAUCUUUUAAGUCAGGGGUGAAAUCCCAAGGCUCAACCUUGGAACUGCCUUUGAUACUGGGGAUCUCGAGUCCGGAAGAGGUUGGUGGAACUGCGAGUGUAGAGGUGAAAUUCGUAGAUAUUCGCAAGAACACCAGUGGCGAAGGCGGCCAACUGGUCCGGUACUGACGCUGAGGUGCGAAAGCGUGGGGAGCAAACAGGG
This 256-nucleotide ribosomal RNA is filed under the name uncultured bacterium. RNAcentral's name for it is "partial 16S ribosomal RNA". It matches the Rfam family "Bacterial small subunit ribosomal RNA", at positions 524 to 777 of the family's 1533-position model. The record is from RNAcentral.